AUAUAAUCUAUAUUUAUGCGGUGUCGAAAGACUUAAUAGGGAAUCGAGAAUGCUCGAGCUGUCCCAGCAACCGUGAUGCUGACAAGACUCAUAUUACCACUGCGCAAGCGGGAAGGGUGAGUUGCGAAUGAAGCUAAGCCGGUAGACCUGCCCAUAGAUCGCUUUAUUC
Non-coding RNA from Clostridiales bacterium 38-18, 169 nucleotides. Lineage: Bacteria; Bacillati; Bacillota; Clostridia; Eubacteriales. The record is from Rfam.